This 837-nucleotide ribosomal RNA is filed under the name uncultured bacterium. RNAcentral describes it as "bacterial SSU rRNA". It matches the Rfam family "Bacterial small subunit ribosomal RNA", at positions 63 to 864 of the family's 1533-position model. The record is from RNAcentral.
CGACGAGUUCUCGUUGAAUCUCGGUGCUUGCACCGAGAUUCAACAUGGACCGAGUGGCGGACGGGUGAGUAACACGUGGGUAACCUGCCCUUAAGUGGGGGAUAACAUUUGGAAACAGAUGCUAAUACCGCAUAGAUCCAAGAACCGCAUGGUUCUUGGCUGAAAGAUGGCGUAAGCUAUCGCUUUUGGAUGGACCCGCGGCGUAUUAGCUAGUUGGUGAGGUAAUGGCUCACCAAGGCGAUGAUACGUAGCCGAACUGAGAGGUUGAUCGGCCACAUUGGGACUGAGACACGGCCCAAACUCCUACGGGAGGCAGCAGUAGGGAAUCUUCCACAAUGGACGCAAGUCUGAUGGAGCAACGCCGCGUGAGUGAAGAAGGCUUUCGGGUCGUAAAACUCUGUUGUUGGAGAAGAAUGGUCGGCAGAGUAACUGUUGUCGGCGUGACGGUAUCCAACCAGAAAGCCACGGCUAACUACGUGCCAGCAGCCGCGGUAAUACGUAGGUGGCAAGCGUUAUCCGGAUUUAUUGGGCGUAAAGCGAGCGCAGGCGGUUUUUUAAGUCUGAUGUGAAAGCCCUCGGCUUAACCGAGGAAGCGCAUCGGAAACUGGGAAACUUGAGUGCAGAAGAGGACAGUGGAACUCCAUGUGUAGCGGUGAAAUGCGUAGAUAUAUGGAAGAACACCAGUGGCGAAGGCGGCUGUCUGGUCUGUAACUGACGCUGAGGCUCGAAAGCAUGGGUAGCGAACAGGAUUAGAUACCCUGGUAGUCCAUGCCGUAAACGAUGAAUGCUAGGUGUUGGAGGGUUUCCGCCCUUCAGUGCCGCAGCUAACGCAUUAAG